This 497-nucleotide ribosomal RNA is filed under the name uncultured bacterium. RNAcentral's name for it is "partial 16S ribosomal RNA". It matches the Rfam family "Bacterial small subunit ribosomal RNA", at positions 28 to 507 of the family's 1533-position model. The record is from RNAcentral.
GAUGAACGCUGGCGGCGUGCCUAAUACAUGCAAGUCGAGCGAACAGACGAGGAGCUUGCUCCUCUGACGUUAGCGGCGGACGGGUGAGUAACACGUGGAUAACCUACCUAUAAGACUGGGGUAACUUCGGGAAACCGGAGCUAAUACCGGAUAAUAUAUUGAACCGCAUGGUUCAAUAGUGAAAGACGGUUUUGCUGUCACUUAUAGAUGGAUCCGCGCCGCAUUAGCUAGUUGGUAAGGUAACGGCUUACCAAGGCAACGAUGCGUAGCCGACCUGAGAGGGUGAUAGGCCACACUGGAACUGAGACACGGUCCAGACUCCUACGGGAGGCAGCAGUAGGGAAUCUUCCGCAAUGGGCGAAAGCCUGGCGGAGCAACGCCGCGUGAGUGAUGAAGGUCUUCGGAUCGUAAAACUCUGUUAUUAGGGAAGAACAAAUGUGUAAGUAACUAUGCACGUCUUGACGGUACCUGAUCAGAAAGCCACGGCUAACUACGUG